UUCCACAUCCAUAUGGCGCCGAGAACCAG
RNAcentral lists this small RNA (29 nucleotides) under Bombyx mori (domestic silkworm). RNAcentral describes it as "piRNA piR-bmo-1518234". Lineage: Eukaryota; Metazoa; Arthropoda; Insecta; Lepidoptera; Bombycidae. The record is from RNAcentral.